UGGGGCGUAGCCAAGUGGCAAAGGCACCGGGUUUUGAUCCCGGCAUUCGUAGGUUCGAGUCCUACCGCCCCAGCCA
This 76-nucleotide transfer RNA is filed under the name Deltaproteobacteria bacterium. RNAcentral's name for it is "tRNA-Gln". It matches the Rfam family "tRNA". Rfam says of the family: Transfer RNA (tRNA) molecules are approximately 80 nucleotides in length. Their secondary structure includes four short double-helical elements and three loops (D, anti-codon, and T loops). RNAcentral also lists the same sequence under 3 other names. Lineage: Bacteria; Pseudomonadati; Myxococcota; Myxococcia. The record is from RNAcentral.